GGAGAGAUGGCUGAGCGGUCGAAAGCGGCGGUCUUGAAAACCGUUAGGUGAGCAAUCGCCUCCUGGGUUCGAAUCCCAGUCUCUCCGCCA
RNAcentral lists this transfer RNA (90 nucleotides) under bacterium. Its description in RNAcentral is "tRNA-Ser". It matches the Rfam family "tRNA". From Rfam's summary of the family: Transfer RNA (tRNA) molecules are approximately 80 nucleotides in length. Their secondary structure includes four short double-helical elements and three loops (D, anti-codon, and T loops). The record is from RNAcentral.